UACGUAGGGGGCAAGCGUUGUCCGGAUUUAUUGGGCGUAAAGCGUGCGCAGGCGGUUUUGUAAGCCAGAUGUGAAAUCCCCGGGCUUAACCUGGGAAUGGCAUUUGGGACUGCAAGGCUUGAGUGCGGCAGAGGAGACUGGAAUUCCUGGUGUAGCAGUGAAAUGCGUAGAUAUCAGGAGGAAUACCGAUGGCGAAGGCAGGUCUCUGGGCUGACACUGACGCUCAUGCACGAAAGCGUGGGGAGCAAACAGG
This 253-nucleotide ribosomal RNA is filed under the name uncultured bacterium. Its description in RNAcentral is "partial 16S ribosomal RNA". It matches the Rfam family "Bacterial small subunit ribosomal RNA", at positions 524 to 776 of the family's 1533-position model. The record is from RNAcentral.